UACGUAGGGGGCUAGCGUUGUCCGGAUUUAUUGGGCGUAAAGAGCGUGUAGGCGGCCAGGUAGGUCUGCUGUGAAAACUCGAGGCUCAACCUCGAGACGUCGGCGGAAACCAUCUGGCUAGAGUCCGGAAGAGGAGAGUGGAAUUCCUGGUGUAGCGGUGAAAUGCGCAGAUAUCAGGAAGAACACCCGUGGCGAAGGCGGGUCUCUGGACAGUUCCUGACGCUGAGGCACGAAGGUCAGGGGAGCAAACGGG
Molecule: ribosomal RNA, 253 nt
Filed under: uncultured bacterium
Lineage: Bacteria
Description: partial 16S ribosomal RNA
Rfam family: Bacterial small subunit ribosomal RNA
Source: RNAcentral